Molecule: transfer RNA, 48 nt
Filed under: Canis sp. Belgium/36,000
Lineage: Eukaryota; Metazoa; Chordata; Mammalia; Carnivora; Canidae
Description: partial tRNA-Arg
Source: RNAcentral
AUGAUAAUUAGUUUAAGCCAAAAACAAAUGAUUUCGACUCAUUAGAUU